Molecule: ribosomal RNA, 618 nt
Filed under: uncultured bacterium
Lineage: Bacteria
Description: bacterial SSU rRNA
Rfam family: Bacterial small subunit ribosomal RNA
Source: RNAcentral
CCUACGGGAGGUAGCAGUGAGGAAUAUUGGACAAUGGGCGCAAGCCUGAUCCAGCCAUGCCGCGUGCAGGAUGACGGUCCUAUGGAUUGUAAACUGCUUUUGUACAGGAAGAAACAGUUCUACGUGUAGAACCUUGACGGUACUGUAAGAAUAAGGAUCGGCUAACUCCGUGCCAGCAGCCGCGGUAAUGCGGAGGAUCCAAGCGUUAUCCGGAAUCAUUGGGUUUAAAGGGUCCGUAGGCGGUUUAGUAAGUCAGUGGUGAAAGCCCAUCGCUCAACGGUGGAACGGCCAUUGAUACUGCUAAACUUGAAUUAUUAGGAAGUAACUAGAAUAUGUAGUGUAGCGGUGAAAUGCUUAGAGAUUACAUGGAAUACCAAUUGCGAAAGCAGGUUACUACUAAUGGAUUGACGCUGAUGGACGAAAGCGUGGGUAGCGAACAGGAUUAGAUACCCUGGUAGUCCACGCCGUAAACGAUGGAUACUAGCUGUUGGAAGCAAUUUCAGUGGCUAAGCGAAAGUGAUAAGUAUCCCACCUGGGGAGUACGUUCGCAAGAAGUUAGAAGUACAAUUAGUAAGUUAGAGGCGUGAGAGNGCCGACGGACGACGACGAGGGAGGAGG